Oncorhynchus nerka (sockeye salmon) is the source of this 1165-nucleotide long non-coding RNA. RefSeq lists it as uncharacterized. Lineage: Eukaryota; Metazoa; Chordata; Actinopteri; Salmoniformes; Salmonidae. The record is from RefSeq and is a predicted model, not a curated record. The transcript has 3 exons.
AACCCACUGAGUCCAGUCCAGGACAACACUGAGCAGAAGGUAUGUUCUGUUAGUUCAUGGAACCCACUGAGUCCAGUCCAGGACAACACUGAGCAGAAGGUAUGUUCUGUUAGUUCAUGGAACCCACUGAGUCCAGUCCAGGACAACACUGAGCAGAAGGUAUGUUCUGUUAGUUCAUGGAACCCACUGAGUCCAGUCCAGGACAACACUGAGCAGAAGGUAUGUUCUGUUAGUUCAUGGAACCCACUGAGUCCAGUCCAGGACAACACUGAGCAUGGAACCCACUGAGUCCAGUCCAGGACAACACUGAGCAGAAGGUAUGUUCUGUUAGUUCAUGGAACCCACUGAGUCCAAUCCAGGACAACACUGAGCAGAAGGUAUGUUCUGUUAGUUCAUGGAACCCACUGAGUCCAGUCCAGGACAACACUGAGCAGAAGGUAUGUUCUGUUAGUUCAUGGAACCCACUGAGUCCAGUCCAGGACAACACUGAGCAGAAGGUACGUUCUGUUAGUUCAUGGAACCCACUGAGUCCAGUCCAGGACAACACUGAGCAGAAGGUACGUUCUGUUAGUUCAUGGAACCCACUGAGUCCAGUCCAGGACAACACUGAGCAGAAGGUAUGUUCUGUUAGUUCAUGGAACCCACUGAGUCCAGUCCAGGACAACACUGAGCAGAAGGUACGUUCUGUUAGUUCAUGGAACCCACUGAGUCCAGUCCAGGACAACACUGAGCAGAAGGUAUGUUCUGUUAGUUCAUGGAACCCACUGAGUCCAGUCCAGGACAACACUGAGCAUGGAACCCACUGAGUCCAGUCCAGGACAACACUGAGCAGAAGGUAUGUUCUGUUAGUUCAUGGAACCCACUGAGUCCAGUCCAGGACAACACUGAGCAGAAGGUAUGUUCUGUUAGUUCAUGGAACCCACUGAGUCCAGUCCAGGACAACACUGAGCAGAAGGUAUGUUCUGUUAGUUCAUGGAACCCACUGAGUCCAGUCCAGGACAACACUGAGCAGAAGGAGGCUGACCGUCAGAGCUGUGUGUCCAGUGUGGUCUACCAGGCUGACCAGGCCUGCAGACGCCUGGUCUCACAGGCCAUGCAGGAGGCCAGAGAACAUCAACUUCCCCAGAGAGGAUGAGGUCUCUGGCAGCCGACUUCAAUGAAUCCA